This 66-nucleotide transfer RNA is filed under the name Neonemura barrosi. Its description in RNAcentral is "tRNA-Leu". Lineage: Eukaryota; Metazoa; Arthropoda; Insecta; Plecoptera; Notonemouridae. The record is from RNAcentral.
UCUAAUAUGGCAGAUAAGUGCAAUGGAUUUAAGCUCCAUAUAUAAAGGGUAUUCCUUUUGUUAGAA